GAUAAAUCGUUAAAGAAGCAAAGUAGAUUUUAAAUCAUUAAAAAGAGAGUUAAUGGCUGGUGAAAAUUAACAUGAUUGAAAUUGAAAUAAACCCUUCUAAGAGACAGAAGAAAAUCCAAUCUGGAUGAGUAGAACUGUACGUUUGACUAACGUUAUAAAGUUCUUAAAGUGCUAGAUAAACUAUCUAGAAUUAAGGUGGUACCGCGGAUUUAUAAAAAUAAUUCAUUCGUCCUUAGA
RNAcentral lists this non-coding RNA (237 nucleotides) under Acholeplasma oculi. Its description in RNAcentral is "T-box sequence". It matches the Rfam family "T-box leader". Rfam says of the family: Uncharged tRNA acts as the effector for transcription antitermination of genes in the T-box leader family. T-boxes are found upstream of many aminoacyl-tRNA synthetase genes and some amino acid biosynthetic genes usually in Gram-positive bacteria. The anticodon of a specific tRNA base pairs to a specifier sequence within the T-box motif, and the NCCA acceptor tail of the tRNA base pairs to a conserved bulge in the T-box antiterminator hairpin. The record is from RNAcentral. Lineage: Bacteria; Bacillati; Mycoplasmatota; Mollicutes; Acholeplasmatales; Acholeplasmataceae.